This 567-nucleotide ribosomal RNA is filed under the name Amphiprion chrysopterus (orangefin anemonefish). Its description in RNAcentral is "partial 16S ribosomal RNA". It matches the Rfam family "Bacterial large subunit ribosomal RNA", at positions 1846 to 2607 of the family's 2925-position model. The record is from RNAcentral. Lineage: Eukaryota; Metazoa; Chordata; Actinopteri; Pomacentridae.
UAGAGGUCUGCCUGCCAGUGACUAUAUGUUUAACGGCCGCGGUACUUUGACCGUGCGAAGGUAGCGCAAUCACUUGUCUUUUAAAUGAAGACCUGUAUGAAUGGCACGACGAGGGCUUAACUGUCUCCUUUUUCCAGUCAAUGAAAUUGAUCUUCCCGUGCAGAAGCGGGAAUAAUAGCAUAAGACGAGAAGACCCUGUGGAGCUUUAGACACUAAAUCAGCCCUUGUCCAAAAUCCCCAUUAAAGGAACAAACACUAGAGUGAGACCUGAUCUAAUGUCUUCGGUUGGGGCGACCUUGGGGAAAGAAAAAUCCCCCAUGCGGAACGGAAAUACUAUAUUUCCAAAGCUAAGAGAGACCACUCAAAGUAUCAAAAAUUUUGACCAACUAUAUGAUCCGGCUUAAGCCGAUCAACGGACCAAGUUACCCCAGGGAUAACAGCGCAAUCCUCUUUUAGAGCCCAUAUCGACAAGAGGGUUUACGACCUCGAUGUUGGAUCAGGACAUCCUAAUGGUGCAGCCGCUAUUAAGGGUUCGUUUGUUCAACGAUUAAAGUCCUACGUGAUCUG